Molecule: long non-coding RNA, 943 nt
Filed under: Triticum aestivum (bread wheat)
Lineage: Eukaryota; Viridiplantae; Streptophyta; Magnoliopsida; Poales; Poaceae
Description: long non-coding RNA (TAES_LNC014334)
Source: RNAcentral
UUGAUGUUGGUUCCCCGCAGGUUUUUUGGGGCAUGUGGGUCUUUAAUUUGUGGACGACGGCGAGAAGCGCAGCGAGGUUACGGUGCAGUACCUCACUGUAGAUUCCCCUCCCGCUCUUCGUCCACAGAUUGAGGCGUUGUGAACCAGUUUUUGGAUUUGCCAAAGUGCGUGUGUUGAGUUGCUGCAGGCGUGAGCAUGAGUUGCAGGAAGAUGUGGUAUGAGUUCGUCAGAGUUUGCCGUACGAUAGUUGGUAGAUCCUUUCCCACAAAGCGUGUAUUUUGUUGUUGUACAAAAACUUGCCUAACUAUUGAUUUGUAGUUGCCUGAAAUGUUCGUUAGUUUUGCCAUCUCAUAGAGGUGCUACAAAAACUUGAUGGAAAUUUUGAUUACUCAGAACCCAGAAACUUUGUUGCACACCAAUGCGCUCAUGGAGAUAUGAACUAGCCUACUUUCAUAUCUACCCACAGCUUGCCUAAUGUUUUUGUAUAUCUGCACAAAGCUUGCCUAACGAUUUUGUUAGCUGGUUGCCUGAUAUGGUUCAAAACUUGUUAGUUUCUCGAAGGAUGAGUCCAUCCAGAGGAGGAGGCAGAGCAUCCAAAGGAUCGACCCUGCGCCUCACGCAGGGUGAGUCCCCCGCCCUCCCUAUCGUUUCUUGAAGUAGCUGAUGCAGAUUCAUCCCGAUUUUUUGACGUGAUUUUUGUUCGGUGAGAGUUUGUCGCUAGCGGGGCAGGGGUGAUUUGAAUUGGUCACCUUGAUUCCGCGAGAAGCGUUUUUGUCAUCUCCAAUCCAUAGUUGGUCAGCCAAGGAAAGCAUUGCUGGCAUGAUGUCUUGUUGUAUCUUGUUGUACUAGAGAAUGUGAUUGUUUCCGUUGCAUAUGUCGCUGAGAAGUGCCGCAGCUGCAUCCAUCUCGAGACCAUUAUCGUUUCUAUGGUUUGCUGUCCCAG